UAGGGAAUCUUCGGCAAUGGACGAAAGUCUGACCGAGCAACGCCCGUGAGUGAAGAAGGUUUUCGGAUCGUAAAACUCUGUUGUUAGAGAAGAACAAGGACGUUAGUAACUGAACGUCCCCUGACGGUAUCUAACCAGAAAGCCACGGCUAACUACGUGCCAGCAGCCGCGGUAAUACGUAGGUGGCAAGCGUUGUCCGGAUUUAUUGGGCGUAAAGCGAGCGCAGGCGGUUUCUUAAGUCUGAUGUGAAAGCCCCCGGCUCAACCGGGGAGGGUCAUUGGAAACUGGGAGACUUGAGUGCAGAAGAGGAGAGUGGAAUUCCAUGUGUAGCGGUGAAAUGCGUAGAUAUAUGGAGGAACACCAGUGGCGAAGGCGGCUCUCUGGUCUGUAACUGACGCUGAGGCUCGAAAGCGUGGGGAGCAAACAGG
This 428-nucleotide ribosomal RNA is filed under the name Gemmatimonadota bacterium. RNAcentral describes it as "Gemmatimonadetes bacterium partial 16S ribosomal RNA". It matches the Rfam family "Bacterial small subunit ribosomal RNA", at positions 355 to 776 of the family's 1533-position model. Lineage: Bacteria; Pseudomonadati; Gemmatimonadota. The record is from RNAcentral.